UGGCUCACGACGAACGCUGGCGGCCUGCCUAAUACAUGCAAGUAGAACGCCGAAGGAGGAGCUUACUCUUCUGGAUGAGUUGCGAACGGGUGAGUAACGCGUACGUAACCUGCCUGGGAGCGGGGGAUAACUAUUGGAAACGAUAGCUAAUACCGCAUAAGAGUAGAUGUUGCAUGAGUUUGCUUAAAAGGUGCAAUUGCAUCACUACCAGAUGGACCUGCGUUGUAUUAUCUAGUUGGUGGGGUAACGGCUCACCAAGGCGACGAUACAUAUUCGACCUGAUAGGGUGAUCGGCCACACUGGGACUGAUACACGGCCCGGACUCCUACGGGAGGCAGCAGUAGGGAAUCUUCGGCAAUGGACGGAAGUCUGACCGAGCAACGCCGCGUGAGUGAAGAAGGUUUUCGGAUCGUAAAGCUCUGUUGUAAUACAAGAACGAGUGUGACAUUGGAAAGUUCACACUGUGACCGUAUCUUACCAGACAGGGACGGCUAACUACGUGCCACUCUCCGCGGUAAUACAUAUGUCACGAGCGUUGACAGGAUUUAUUGUUCGUCAAGCGAGCGCAAGCUGAUACAUAAGUCUGACGGUAUGUGCUGUGCCUUAACCAUAGUACUCUUUGUAAACUGUUUAACUUGACUGCAAGAGGGGAGAGUGUAUUCCAUGUGUACCGGUGAAAUGCGUAGAUAUAUGGAGGAACACCGGUGGCGAAACGGCUCUCUGGCUUGUAACUGACGCUGAUGCUCGCUACCGUGGGGAGCAACAUGAUUAGAUACCU
This 778-nucleotide ribosomal RNA is filed under the name uncultured bacterium. RNAcentral describes it as "bacterial SSU rRNA". It matches the Rfam family "Bacterial small subunit ribosomal RNA", at positions 20 to 787 of the family's 1533-position model. The record is from RNAcentral.